RNAcentral lists this unclassified non-coding RNA (606 nucleotides) under Hevea brasiliensis (rubber tree). Lineage: Eukaryota; Viridiplantae; Streptophyta; Magnoliopsida; Malpighiales; Euphorbiaceae. The record is from RNAcentral.
CCGAUACGUCUCGUCUCAAGCCUCCGCCUUUUUUUUUUUCUUAAUUUUUAAAAUGUCACAUCUGAAUCCACUGUCCCAGCUGCGUCGGAUUGACAAUACCAGGAAUGUGGGUCCCAUCACUCCUCAACAAGCUAGAUAUCUCAACAUAAUUCUGGCUCGGCUUCGGCUCAUCCGGGCUCGACUUUCUCUUCUUCGGGUCGGCUACAGGAGUAGCAGCAGCAUUAGCUCUAGGUCGAGCCGGGUCAAAUUUCUGACCCAAUAAAGUACCUUUAGUUAAAUACUCAUAAGCCAUAUACCCGGCUAAAACUGAAUUAGGCAUUUGAUGAGGAGGAUGACCCUUUUUUUUGGGGUCGGGUUUAGGAAACGACGUCGUAAGGUUAGCAUUACUAACGGACGUUAGUGGAUUUGACGGUCUUGGAGACGAAUAAAACGUGUCUCGGUCUUUUCGCUUCCGUGAUGACUCGUCAAGAGUUAAGAUUCGCCGUGAGUGAUAAUUCAUCCUAGCCGUCCAAUCUUAAUCUACAGCAUGCCACGUCACCGCACUUUUAAAAUAAAAUAAAAAAGCGAUAAAAAAGGAAGAAAAAAAAAGUGAAGUUACGGUUAAGG